ACGUAGGACCCGAGCGUUGUCCGGAUUUACUGGGUAUAAAGGGUGCGUAGGCGGUCUUGUGCGUCAGAGGUGAAAUCUCCGGGCUUAACCCGGAGGGUGCCUUUGAAACGGCAGGACUUGAGUGCGGGAGAGGGUGAUGGAAUUCCUGGUGUAGCGGUGAAAUGCGUAGAUAUCAGGAGGAACACCGGUGGCGAAGGCGGUCACCUGGCCCGUAACUGACGCUGAGGCACGAAAGCGUGGGGAUCAAACAGGAUUAGAUACCCUGGUAGUCCACGCCCUAAACGAUGUAUGCUUGGUGUUGGGUCCGCAAGGACUCAGUGCCGUAGGGAAUCUGAUAAGCAUACCACCUGGGGAGUACGAUCGCAAGGUUG
RNAcentral lists this ribosomal RNA (371 nucleotides) under uncultured bacterium. RNAcentral describes it as "bacterial SSU rRNA". It matches the Rfam family "Bacterial small subunit ribosomal RNA", at positions 525 to 896 of the family's 1533-position model. The record is from RNAcentral.